AUGAGUGGCGAACGGGUGAGUAACACGUGAGUAACCUGCCCCCUUCUUUGGGAUAACGCCCGGAGACGGGUGCUAAUACUGGAUAUUCACUGAUCUUCGCAUGGGGGUUGGUGGAAAGGGUUUUUUCUGGUGGGGGAUGGGCUCGCGGCCUAUCAGCUUGUUGGUGGGGUGAUGGCCUACCAAGGCUUUGACGGGUAGCCGGCCUGAGAGGGUGACCGGUCACAUUGGGACUGAGAUACGGCCCAG
RNAcentral lists this ribosomal RNA (246 nucleotides) under uncultured bacterium. Its description in RNAcentral is "partial 16S ribosomal RNA". It matches the Rfam family "Bacterial small subunit ribosomal RNA", at positions 91 to 334 of the family's 1533-position model. The record is from RNAcentral.